Molecule: non-coding RNA, 145 nt
Filed under: Halobacillus sp.
Lineage: Bacteria; Bacillati; Bacillota; Bacilli; Caryophanales; Bacillaceae
Also listed under: 1 other name
Description: FMN sequence
Rfam family: FMN riboswitch aptamer (RFN element)
About the family: The RFN element is a highly conserved domain that is found frequently in the 5'-untranslated regions of prokaryotic mRNAs that encode for flavin mononucleotide (FMN) biosynthesis and transport proteins. This element is a metabolite-dependent riboswitch that directly binds FMN in the absence of proteins. In Bacillus subtilis, the riboswitch most likely controls gene expression by causing premature transcription termination within the 5' untranslated region of the ribDEAHT operon and precluding access to the ribosome-binding site of ypaA mRNA.
Source: RNAcentral
UUCCAUCUUCGGGGCAGGGUGUAAUUCCCGACCGACGGUAUUAGGUGCAUAGAUACCUAGAGUCCGUGACCCGCAGGUUCUUCCUGCGGCUGAUCUGGUGAGAGUCCAGAACCGACAGUUAAAGUCUGGAUGGGAGAAGAUGUCG